Paramisgurnus dabryanus is the source of this 462-nucleotide long non-coding RNA. RefSeq lists it as uncharacterized. Lineage: Eukaryota; Metazoa; Chordata; Actinopteri; Cypriniformes; Cobitidae. The record is from RefSeq and is a predicted model, not a curated record.
GCCUUUUGUAAGGAGGAGCAGCUCGAGUGCGGUGCGGUCAGUAGCCCUUCAAAUUAGAAAAGUGAGGAUGAUCUUGUCAAUGCUGAGAUUUUCAUGCAUCAGCAGCCACUACAUCUGGAUCAGAUUGAACAAGAAACAGACAGCAAGGGUUGUCAGAUCAGAAACAGAAUGACACACAAACACAAGAAACUUCACAGGCAGAUCAACAUGCAAUUUGAAGACGUGUGAUAAAAUACAGAGAGGUGAAGUAGUGUGUCUUUCCAGAUGCCCAAAUCAUUCCCCCUUAAAAGAUGAGCCUGAAGAGGAGAUUUGGGAAGAUGCUGUUUCAUAAGUCGCUUUGCCAGAUCACCUGUGGUCGGGAUGUCUGCUAACAAGAUGCCUUGCUGGUCUGAGCGAGUUUAAAGUCUUACACAGACAGUCCAGAAGUUCUGAAGUCCAUCUUCGAUUUCAUUGGUAAGGGAC